This 711-nucleotide ribosomal RNA is filed under the name Escherichia coli. RNAcentral describes it as "partial 23S ribosomal RNA". It matches the Rfam family "Bacterial large subunit ribosomal RNA", at positions 2211 to 2915 of the family's 2925-position model. Lineage: Bacteria; Pseudomonadati; Pseudomonadota; Gammaproteobacteria; Enterobacterales; Enterobacteriaceae. The record is from RNAcentral.
UGUUUGAUGUUCUAACGUGGACCCGUGAUCCGGGUUGCGGACAGUGUCUGGUGGGUAGUUUGACUGGGGCGGUCUCCUCCUAAAGAGUAACGGAGGAGCACGAAGGUUGGCUAAUCCUGGUCGGACAUCAGGAGGUUAGUGCAAUGGCAUAAGCCAGCUUGACUGCGAGCGUGACGGCGCGAGCAGGUGCGAAAGCAGGUCAUAGUGAUCCGGUGGUUCUGAAUGGAAGGGCCAUCGCUCAACGGAUAAAAGGUACUCCGGGGAUAACAGGCUGAUACCGCCCAAGAGUUCAUAUCGACGGCGGUGUUUGGCACCUCGAUGUCGGCUCAUCACAUCCUGGGGCUGAAGUAGGUCCCAAGGGUAUGGCUGUUCGCCAUUUAAAGUGGUACGCGAGCUGGGUUUAGAACGUCGUGAGACAGUUCGGUCCCUAUCUGCCGUGGGCGCUGGAGAACUGAGGGGGGCUGCUCCUAGUACGAGAGGACCGGAGUGGACGCAUCACUGGUGUUCGGGUUGUCAUGCCAAUGGCACUGCCCGGUAGCUAAAUGCGGAAGAGAUAAGUGCUGAAAGCAUCUAAGCACGAAACUUGCCCCGAGAUGAGUUCUCCCUGACUCCUUGAGAGUCCUGAAGGAACGUUGAAGACGACGACGUUGAUAGGCCGGGUGUGUAAGCGCAGCGAUGCGUUGAGCUAACCGGUACUAAUGAACCGUGAGG